UACGUAGGGUGCGAGCGUUAAUCGGAAUUACUGGGCGUAAAGCGCACGUAGGCGGCUUGGUAUGUCGGGUGUGAAAUCCCCGGGCUCAACCUGGGAACUGCAUCCGAAACUGCCUUGCUCGAGUAUGGGAGAGGGAAGUGGAAUUUCCGGUGUAGCGGUGAAACGCGUAGAUAUCGGAAGGAACAUCAGUGGCGAAGGCGACUUCCUGGACCAAUACUGACGCUCAGGUGCGAAAGCGUGGGGAGCAAACAGG
This 253-nucleotide ribosomal RNA is filed under the name uncultured bacterium. RNAcentral's name for it is "partial 16S ribosomal RNA". It matches the Rfam family "Bacterial small subunit ribosomal RNA", at positions 524 to 776 of the family's 1533-position model. The record is from RNAcentral.